ACCUAAUAACAUUUCAGUCUUCUUCUCUUUUUAGUCGAGCAUUUCCAAUCUCAAAUAUACUCUUUCCAUAAUCCUCGCAGACACGUCCUCAUUUCAUGAUCAUAAUCUUCUUGUUUUCUAGUGCCCAAACCAGCUUCAAUCUCUAAUUGCCAAGUCUUAAACCGGCUCUUAAUCCGCUCAACAUUUCUUGGGCUUGCAAUCUCCUCCUUUUUGUCUGCACGUGUCCCCUCAUUUCUCAACCUGUAAAACAUGGUAAACCAUCUC
RNAcentral lists this long non-coding RNA (264 nucleotides) under Brassica napus (rape). RNAcentral's name for it is "long non-coding RNA (BNAP_LNC025682)". Lineage: Eukaryota; Viridiplantae; Streptophyta; Magnoliopsida; Brassicales; Brassicaceae. The record is from RNAcentral.